GAUGGGCAUGCGGCGCAUUAGCUAGACGGCGGGGUAACGGCCCACCGUGGCGACGAUGCGUAGGGGUUCUGAGAGGAAGGUCCCCCACACUGGUACUGAGACACGGACCAGACUCCUACGGGAGGCAGCAGUGAGGAAUAUUGGUCAAUGGGAGAGAUCCUGAACCAGCCAAGCCGCGUGAGGGAAGACGGCCCUAUGGGUUGUAAACCUCUUUUGUCGGAGAACAAAACCCGGGACGAGUCCCGGACUGCGUGUAUCCGAAGAAAAAGCAUCGGCUAACUCCGUGCCAGCAGCCGCGGUAAUACGGAGGAUGCGAGCGUUAUCCGGAUUUAUUGGGUUUAAAGGGUGCGUAGGCGGUCCGUUAAGUCAGCGGUAAAAUUGCGGGGCUCAACCCCGUCGAGCCGUUGAAACUGUCAGACUUGAGUUGGCGAGAAGUACGCGGAAUGCGCGGUGUAGCGGUGAAAUGCAUAGAUAUCGCGCAGAACUCCGAUUGCGAAGGCAGCGUACCGGCGCCAGACUGACGCUGAGGCACGAAAGCGUGGGGAUCGAACAGGAUUAGAUACCCUGGUAGUCCACGCAGUAAACGAUGAAUGCUGGUUGUCCGGGUCGAAUGAGACCUGG
This 621-nucleotide ribosomal RNA is filed under the name uncultured bacterium. RNAcentral describes it as "bacterial SSU rRNA". It matches the Rfam family "Bacterial small subunit ribosomal RNA", at positions 224 to 842 of the family's 1533-position model. The record is from RNAcentral.